UUUCCCUCAGUAGUGAUAAAACAGUGACGUGUGGGUAUGUGUCUCCGCAUAGCUUCCUUGUACGUGUUUCCGGGGACACGUGUAGACAAGAGGAGGCUUCUAAGGACACGGACAGACUGUGGGAGGAAGGACGCAGCAACAGGACAUUAGGAAGGAAGAAGAAAUGUGGGCACACACGGCUGGCCUGGCAUGGUGGUGUUGGUGGCACAGGGAGUGUGUUGCAUGGCACUCACUGAGGAGAUGAGCCUUGAGUGUCGAUCCUGCAGCACACGUGUCUUUGGUGGAACAUGUGGUACGCUAAGGUGGUCGACAUUCUAAGUUACGUCAGGGUCACCGGAGAGCUAGCAACGUCAGGGUCACCGGAGAGCUAGCAACGUCAGGGUCACCGGAGAGCUAGCAUCCCUGGCGUCACAUCCUGUUUACUGGUGCCGCCACUCGGAUUUUUUGUUAGAGACUUGUUUACCUGGUGACGAAACACAUCUGUUCGUCUCUCUCUCUCUCUCUCUCUCUCUCUCUCUCUCUCUCUCUCUCUCUCUCUCUCUCUCUCUCUCUCUCUCUCUCUCUCUCUCUCUCUCUCUCUCUCUCUCUCUCUGUGUGUGUGUGUGUGUGUGUGUGUGUGUGUGUGUGUGUGUGUGUGUGUGUGUGUGUGUGUGUGUGUGUGUGUGUGUGUGUGUGUGUGUGUGUGUGGGGGGGUUUCGGUUCGUCAUUCUAUUCGUUUUUCUUUCUGUCGGUUCGUCUAUCUAUCUAUCGGCCUGUUUGUGUGUAUGUAUGUGUGUUUCUCUGUCUGUCCGUCUCUCUCUCUCUCUCUCUCUCUCUCUCUCUCUCUCUCUCUCUCUCUCUCUCUCUCUCUCUCUCUCUCUCUCUCUCUCUCUCUCUCUCUCUCUCUCUCUCUCUCUCCACACUUAGAUUAUGUUAUUAGAUAGAAAUAAGGGAAGUUUCAGAGAAAUUUUUCCUUUUGAACCAUGACAAUUUGAAUUUUUUUCCUUCCAUAUUUUUAUUUUUUCCAGUGGUCAGGUAAUGAUAGGUUUCCUGUUAUUUUCCUCCAUUUCGUUCACCCCCACACUAUCCGGUUGCCCAGUCCUGUUACUUUAGUUUAGUAUUGUAUGUUUUAUCCGUGUCCAUACUGGUGGCGAGGAACGGCGGAAGUGACACGUAGAGAUGGAAAUGGGUGUGGUG
Molecule: long non-coding RNA, 1176 nt
Organism: Scylla paramamosain (green mud crab)
Lineage: Eukaryota; Metazoa; Arthropoda; Malacostraca; Decapoda; Portunidae
Exons: 3
Source: RefSeq, a predicted model, not a curated record